RNAcentral lists this transfer RNA (66 nucleotides) under Macromia manchurica. RNAcentral describes it as "tRNA-Thr". It matches the Rfam family "tRNA". From Rfam's summary of the family: Transfer RNA (tRNA) molecules are approximately 80 nucleotides in length. Their secondary structure includes four short double-helical elements and three loops (D, anti-codon, and T loops). Further hydrogen bonds mediate the characteristic L-shaped molecular structure. tRNAs have two regions of fundamental functional importance: the anti-codon, which is responsible for specific mRNA codon recognition, and the 3' end, to which the tRNAs corresponding amino acid is attached (by aminoacyl-tRNA synthetases). tRNAs cope with the degeneracy of the genetic code in two manners: having more than one tRNA (with a specific anti-codon) for a particular amino acid; and 'wobble' base-pairing, i.e. permitting non-standard base-pairing at the 3rd anti-codon position. The record is from RNAcentral. Lineage: Eukaryota; Metazoa; Arthropoda; Insecta; Odonata; Macromiidae.
GUUUAAGUAGUUUAUAAAAAACAUUGGUCUUGUAAACCGAAACAGAAUGAUUCCAUUCCUUAAACU